GGAUGGGUCUGCGGCCGAUUAGGUAGUUGGUUAGGUAAUGGCUUACCAAGCCGUUGAUCGGUACGGGUUGUGAGAGCAAGAGCCCGGAGAUGGAACCUGAGACAAGGUUCCAGGCCCUACGGGGUGCAGCAGGCGCGAAACCUCCGCAAUGUGAGAAAUCGCGACGGGGGGAUCCCAAGUGCCAUUCUUAACGGGAUGGCUUUUCAUUAGUGUAAAGAGCUUUUGGAAUAAGAGCUGGGCAAGACCGGUGCCAGCCGCCGCGGUAACACCGGCAGCUCUAGUGGUAGCAAUUUUUAUUGGGCCUAAAGCGUCCGUAGCCGGUUUAAUAAGUCUCUGGUGAAAUCCUGCAGCUUAACUGUGGGAAUUGCUGGAGAUACUAUUAGACUUGAGACCGGGAGAGGUUAGAGGUACUCCCAGGGUAGAGGUGAAAUUCUGUAAUCCUGGGAGGACCGCCUGUUGCGAAGGCGUCUAGCUGGAACGGUUCUGACGGUGAGGGACGAAAGUUAGGGGCGCGAACCGGAUUAGAUACCCGGGUAGUCCUAACUGUAAACGAUGCGGACUUGGUGUUGGGGUGGCUUUGAGCUGCUUCAGUGCCGAAGGGAAGCUGUUAAGUCCGCCGCCUGGGAAGUACGGUCGCAAGACUGAAACUUAA
This 652-nucleotide ribosomal RNA is filed under the name uncultured archaeon. Its description in RNAcentral is "bacterial SSU rRNA". It matches the Rfam family "Archaeal small subunit ribosomal RNA", at positions 207 to 859 of the family's 1478-position model. The record is from RNAcentral.